RNAcentral lists this ribosomal RNA (110 nucleotides) under Riccia junghuhniana. Its description in RNAcentral is "partial 26S large subunit ribosomal RNA". It matches the Rfam family "Eukaryotic large subunit ribosomal RNA", at positions 1 to 109 of the family's 3401-position model. The record is from RNAcentral. Lineage: Eukaryota; Viridiplantae; Streptophyta; Marchantiopsida; Marchantiales; Ricciaceae.
CCGACCUCAGAUCAGGCGAGACCACCCGCUGAGUUUAAGCAUAUCACUAAGCGGAGGAAAAGAAACUAACAAGGAUUCCCUUAGUAGCGGCGAGCGAACCGGGAAGAGCC